RNAcentral lists this long non-coding RNA (261 nucleotides) under Lathyrus oleraceus (garden pea). RNAcentral describes it as "Pisum sativum (pea) long non-coding RNA (PSAT_LNC005170)". Lineage: Eukaryota; Viridiplantae; Streptophyta; Magnoliopsida; Fabales; Fabaceae. The record is from RNAcentral.
ACAACUCUUGAAAAACCGAGCAAGCAUUGAAAAAAAAAAUUAGAAAAGAAAAACAUUUGUUUUGUAAAUAUGAUGUGAAAGAAAAGAAAAAAAAAUCUAAUAUAGAGAAAAUAAAAAUGAAUGCUUGCUUGGAAGGAAAAUAGUGAAAAACAAAAAUUGAGUUGUGAAAUAAGAGUUGUGAAGGUUUCAAAUGAGAAAUAAAUGGAACGAAGUUGAGAUGUGUAAAUAAUGUACAGUGAAUGUCUCUUUUGCAUCGGCAAU